UUUCAGUUCUAUUCACUCUUCUCAACUGUGGUGUUAAAUUUUCAGAUGUUGUGACAAUGUCUAUUGAGGGACUUACUGAGGCCUAUUCCAUGUUGCAAUAUCAGAAUGGUUUUCCUUAGGUUAAGGUUGUCUUAAGUGCUGAUAUUUCUGGUGAAAAAGUAUGACAAGAUCGUGUUAAUAUCAAGUCUUCCAUUUGAGCUAUGUCCCAUUUCUCUAUUUCAAUACUGAAAUUUUUUUUAUUAGUAGGGCUAACAACUAUGCAUUCAAAGCUCCAUAUAUAAGUUAAAAAUGGAUGAAGCUUGAUAGAUCAGCGUUUUUGUCUUUAUAGUGCCAGAUACAAUAUGCUAUGUUCUCAUAAGUAGGUCAUACGUUCAUCAUAUUGGCAUUUUAUGUUUUUUCUCAAUCAUAUUUAAUGUUGUAGAAGGGUGAUACCUCGAAAAAUUUAACUUUUUUUAUGCAGUGU
Long non-coding RNA from Nicotiana attenuata, 463 nucleotides. RefSeq lists it as uncharacterized. The record is from RefSeq and is a predicted model, not a curated record. The transcript has 3 exons. NCBI's taxonomy places the organism in Eukaryota, Viridiplantae, Streptophyta, Magnoliopsida, Solanales, Solanaceae.